GGGGGAAGAGGGACCGUGGACAGAGGAGGGAGACAGGGGAAUAGAAGGGAGUAGCGGGCUAGGGACAGGACAGGAAUGAGUGGGGGGAGGUCGGGUUUGGGGGAAGAGGAGGGGAGGCUUUAGGGGAGAAAGAACAGAAAUACGGGGAGGGGGAAGAAAAGGGGUAAAGGGGUUGGGGGAGGCCGAAAAGGGAGGGAAAGGAGUCGGCUUUGGAGAGACAAAGGUGGGAAAGGCACAGAAAGAAGGGGUUAUAGAGAAGGCAGAAAAGAAGAAGAGAAAGAAGGAAGGGGAGAGGCGGGGACAGCAGGGGAGGCCGAGCGCCUCCUGGCCCGGGCUGCGGAGCCCGGACACAAAGCCGCCGACCCCAAGCUGCUCAGAGUGAGCAAAUGGCGGCCGAGAGCAUUUUCGGGAGUUAAAUAACCUCGGCCCCGCCCCGCGCAGCCGCCCUGGGGCCCCGCGCACCUGAGCCCGCCCCGGGCCCCGCCCCACAGGGCUCUUCGGCUCACUUCGGCUGCACUCGGCUAAACUCGGAUUGGUUCGGCUAUAAUCGGUUAUACUCGGCUAUAAUCGGCUCUUCGGCCACACUCGGCUACUGUCGGCUCACGGCUGAACUCGACUAUUUCCGGCCGCAGUCGUCUGGAUUCGGCACUUCGGCGCAGCUCGGCUGGGCUGGGCCGAGCUCGGUGCCCUCGCUGCGUUCGGCGCAGCUCGGUUCGGCUCCCUCAGUACCUUACUACUCAAUAGUUAUUUUUGUAAUUCAUUAUUCUUGAGACCAUCAUUCAUGUUAUUGAUUUACUACUGCAGAGCACAGAAGAUUCUGAGUUGGAAAGACCCCCGAGGAUGAUCAGGUCAAAUGAUGCCACGUGACUGGCCUACCUAGGGACUGAACUCAGAAUAUUCAUAUUCUCAACUCCUGAGCGAACGUUGGGAUCAUGAGAAACAGCUGGGAAUGGCUGCUGCUGCUUUUCUGCUAAUGCUGUUUCACACACCAGCCCCUUGAACAGCCCUAAGGCAGGAAUGGCUGGCACCCGACAAGACAGCGUAAAACUCCUCCAAUAACCUUGAAUUCCUGUCCUCUCCAGCAUUUCCCCAAUGGCUCGGAAGAUGCCAGGGAGAAAUGAGCAAAACAAGUCCUGAGCUUUCACUUGGUCCGUGGCAAUCCCAACUGAGAAAUACAUGAUUGUCGUCAAAAACUUAAGAUCUGUUAGAAGUUCAAUGACAACACUGUGAUGGGAUUCCCAGAAACCUUCUUAAUAUUCUUGGCUCCAUUUUUAUAAUUUUUAGUCUCUCCACUGGCAGCUUGUAGAAUUUAUCCUGGGAUUUGGAGGUGAAGCAAGGUUGGCUUUGGAUUGACUUUCACCUCUGGCCCUAAUUUCCCUCAAAAACAUCCCCUACAUAUUCCAUGUAGAUUAACUCUUUACCCCAAAAUUGCCCUACCUGUCCACUACCAGUGAUUUUAUUUUCUCCUCAAAAUGUUCAUUCUCCAUCUUGGAGAAAACAUCCAUUUCUACACCCAAAAUUUUUGCUCCAUGUCCACAACUGAUGACCUCAGUUUACCUCAGGAUAUUAAUUCCUGAACCUCCGGGGAUUAUUUCACUUUUCCUCCCCAAAUUUACCCUGUCUUUCGACUUCUGAUUUCCUCAUUUUUACAAGAAAAUAUUAAUCAUCUAUUCUAGGGACUAUCUUCAGUUUUACAACCCAAGUUUUCCUUACCUUAUUUUUUACCCAAAAAUACUCAUUCUUAGAUUUUUUCUAAAGUUUUAUCCCCCAAAAUUCCCCUACUUUUCCACCAAUUCCCUCAUUUGUACUUCAAAAUAUUUAUUUAAUACCAUGGAGCUUUUCUCAAGAUGUACUCUCACAAUUUUCCCUACUUGUCCAUACUCAUUGCCUCAUUUUUCCCAUUUUUCAUUUUCUUCUGCAGAGAAGGAUGGAGACUGCCCUCAGAGGGAAACAACCUGGUGGGACCCAGCCCUGGCAGCCCGUUUCCUCUUGUUGCUGCUGUCUGGAAAGCCACAGGUAAUUCCAGCCCCUCAUGGCAUCUGUUUGGCCGCCUGACCCCUAUUCCAACCCACACCCCACCAUCUCAGCACAAUUUUCUGCAGCACUAGGGUCAGGGAGAGAGAAGGAAAUGACUUUUUUUGAUCUUGAAAUGUAUCCAGGCAGACGUGGGAGGUGGUCUUGCCCCUCCCGAAGCACUGCAGGCACAUGGAGCAGCUCAGCACCGCCCAGUUCUGAGAAAUAACAGUGUCUGAGGGGUCUAAGUGCUCAUGGCAGCUCUCUUGUCUCUUGGUGGCAAAGAUUCAGUGCUACAGUCCCAGACUGAUGAGGGAAGAAAGGAACUUCCAUUAUUACCAGCAAAGCUUCUUUUACUCCUUCUGCGGGCUUUCAGUUCAGUGGCCUGGGCGACUGUCUGGUGUCUUUCUAACAAGACUUGUCAGAGAUUUAGAUUUAGGAACUGAAUUUGGGUCAGUUCACUACGAAACCUUGCCAAGCCUGAAGGCCUGAGGUGAUGACUGCCCUCAGCAAAGCACGUUGCCAGUCUUGAGGGAUCUGCUCUGGUUUCAGCCUGUCCAUGCCCUGGUCACUGCAGUCCCCAGUGCCUGAGACAGAGACACCCCUGACCAGAGUGGCCAGUGUCACUUAAAUGGAAAUGAAAUGCGCCGAACUUGCUGUGGACAGGAACUCUGUGCUUGCUUUAGUUUUAAAAUUGUGAGUAAAUUCUUGAUGCAUAAUCACUUAAUUCUGCCUCUAAAGGAGAGAUUUUCCUCACCCCUAUUUACAGAUUGUUAUAUACAAAUGCACGUAACUUUAUAAAGGAAAAUCGGAAGUAAAAACCAACACCCUCUGCUACAUUAGAUUAUUGUUUUCUUGUGGCCAUUUAUUUUGUGUAAACUUGCCUUUCCCAGCGUGCUUCUGGGUUUCAGCUAUUUGGGAAUAAUUUCAGCUGACUCUUUGCAGUGAAAAUAUGAAGGUGGGGAUGAGUGACCAGUACUCUGGGAAGGGCUGUGGGUGUGCCUGGGUCAGGAGCAAAUGGUCAGGGUUUAUCUUCUCCUGGUUUGAGGCUGGGUCUGGCAACACCACAACAUUCCAAAGCAGACUAAUUAUUUCCUCCACUGUCACUUGUCCAGGCUCUCUGCAUACUGCCAUGUCAGUGGAUACAUCUCAAUGCCACAGGGGCUUUCCUCCAAGUAGUGGUAAACCAAUUUCAAUUUUACAGACCUCUAUUGCUGCUGGAUUAGCUAAAGGACAUGACCUCCCUGUGAAAUCAGUUUUUAAACAAAAGGUAAACUUUGAACCUUGGACUAUAGCUAAAAGAUAAGAGAUGCACACUAGAUCAAUACUUGGCAAAUAUUAGUCGCAUGCCAUGGGCAGAUACCUGUCUGCUGUACCUCUACAUGUUUUAGUGUGCUGCUGCAGCACAGAUAUUUAAGGGGGUUCUUUACAGAGCACAACCAUUAAAUAACUUCUAGCUGCCUAAAAGUGGGGUAACAUAGUGUAAGUCUAGUAAUUACCUUCCUCUGCAGCCCACCUAGAGUUCAGGGAACUGAGGGCCCCCUGUUUGCACACACACAACAUUUUCCCUACCACACCAGUAAUUUCCUUUGCCCUAGUGCAUUACUUCUGUGAACAGCAGCUUUUAAGAAAAUUGUCAAGUUUGAAACAGUUCCUCUUCCAAGGCAAGCAAGCAGGUGGUUCACCGUCUCCAAUUAUGUAAUAAUAAUGUAAGUAUAAAUUGUGCUUCUGUGUUUUAUCAAUAGCUGGGUACAACACACGCAUUUUGGACUCAGCAUUUCUUGAUUGUGUCCAUAGGUUAAAAAAAAAGAGAGAGAGAAUAAAAACAGGAGCAUUCAAUUCCAUUUUUUCACCUUUUUUUAGGGGACUUUGCUAUUUGAUAGCAAGGCAGGAAACAUCUUUCUGUUGCUCCUUUCUGCCUUUGGUUUGUAACAACAGUGCCAAGCCUCUUGCAAGAGUUGGCACAUCAGCCAAUAUUCUGGGAGUCCAGAUCCCCAAGACAAAGGCAGGUGGUGUUACAUGCCAGGGAAGCAGCCCAAGAGAAAUCAGUGUUCCUCAGGAACAACCCAGAUGUGACAGAUGUUCCUGCCCUCCACGUGGACAACAGCUCAGAGCCAGGAGCACCCAGAGUGCAGCAGUUUGUGUGCAGUGCAAGGGUUCUAGUAACAACUGCAGCCUGGCAGCCUCCUGGCCCAGGAAAGAACUGCAGUCCAGUAAGAAAAUGCAGCUGCCUUGAGAUUGCUUUGUACUCUAAAUUCCCAGAGCAACAGAGCUGCUGACGUCCUGUUUGGCAAGGACACUCUCAUGGUGAGAUGUCAGCAGCAUUGUCAUUCCUUCAGCAGCUUUUAGACCUGGAGAAGUUAAUCAGGACUUUGGUGCAGAGACAAACACUAGAGAGAGGCAGAAUUACUGUUUCUAAGCACAAAUUUGGACCAGAAAUUGAAUCUCCACCAAUGUGGAUUCCUGGAAGCAAGUUUUUACUUCAUGUCUCACUUAUGUGAAAAUAAAAAACAAACAAAACCAAACCAAAACUGUCCUUACUUCCCUAGGAUACCACAUUUCCUAAGGAUUUUGGGCUGUUCUGUCUAGUGUCUCUCAGGGCUUGAAUGCAGACACCAGGAAACUCAGCUCAGAGCCAGUUCCUGCAUCUCUGGCCUCUGGUGCCUUCACCUCAGGCAUGGUUUGGUAACACACACCCACUAUAUAGUGAUACAUUUCUUGUAAUCAAAUACAGGUUUGUGGAGUACACAAGUCAUCUCAAUUCACUGUAUUUUUACUACCAAGUUGUCAUUUAUCACGUGGCAAACACAGUCUUCUAUCAGCAUCAGCACAAGUACCUAGCUUGGGAUUUUUCUUGCUGCUGAUGAAAUCCUAUUUCCUCUCCAGGCAGCCACUGGGAGCAGAGCACAGCCGGGCCUGGCUCUGGCAACACUGACAGAACAUUCCUUCACAGUCUGCUAAACAUCACCUUUCAGAGCUUUCACCCAGCACCACGAGAGAAGAAAGGCAUCAAGAAAGUGCCACAUCAACUCCUGAGCUCCUUUCAGCUCAGCAGUAGGGAGUCUGCUCCUUUCAGCAGGGCAAGGGACUGCUGGGGAUACAGCCUGGGAGAGGCACGAGGCAAGGCCAGGCCUUCCUGCACCUCCUGUGUGCACACAGGGGCCACCCCAGAGAAGCCAGGACAGUUCUCAGUUUACUAGCAUAGCUGUGGAAACUUCUCUGUCAGUAAAGCAUAGUUCAGACGUAGCACAGCACCAAAAUCAUUAUUUAGCUGGUACUGGAAAUAACUGAGUGCCUUUAGAAAGUACUGGGGGAAAAAAAUUACUUAAUCCAGCACCGUUACUUCACUAGGUGCUGGAUCAGCAAACACACAUAAGCAAUAUAUAGCAACCCUCACUCAGCUUCUUCCUGUUCUUAUGCUCAAACUAUACUAUGUAAAG
Long non-coding RNA from Passer domesticus (house sparrow), 5453 nucleotides. RefSeq lists it as uncharacterized. The record is from RefSeq and is a predicted model, not a curated record. NCBI's taxonomy places the organism in Eukaryota, Metazoa, Chordata, Aves, Passeriformes, Passeridae. The transcript has 3 exons.